UAGAUAUUAUGACAUAAAACACAAUUAUCGUAAGGUAUAUAAAGAAUAAAUUAAUUACACCCCAUAAUAGGAUACAAAGUACAUCGAUCCAGGAUGAAGAUUUCUACCAUUUUCUGCUGCAUAAUUCUUAUUUUACCUCUGUGCUUCUCUACGCCGGUAGAAAAGGCAACAGAAUUGGAUGAAGUAAAUUCAGUUAAUGAAGUAAGAAGAAUACAAAAGAGAUGUUUAUAUAUAGGAUGCAGAUAUUGGUAUUGUGGAUGCCAUGACCCGGUGAAGGAAUAAUGUAUAUGCAAUUAAGCACGGAUAUAAAUAUAAU
This is a long non-coding RNA of Centruroides sculpturatus (bark scorpion), 316 nucleotides long. RefSeq lists it as uncharacterized. The record is from RefSeq and is a predicted model, not a curated record. Lineage: Eukaryota; Metazoa; Arthropoda; Arachnida; Scorpiones; Buthidae. The transcript has 3 exons.